RNAcentral lists this long non-coding RNA (305 nucleotides) under Mytilus galloprovincialis (Mediterranean mussel). Lineage: Eukaryota; Metazoa; Mollusca; Bivalvia; Mytilida; Mytilidae. The record is from RNAcentral.
CUUUGGCUUAAUUAUUAACCCGUGGCAUUUUAAACAAAGUAUAACAGAUGUAUAGCAGUGUCUCCAGUUAUUGAAUCCUAAACUGGAUAUCAGCUCUUUAUAUCUUCCUUUGCUUCCAUUCAUUACGAUUAUUUUUCUUGCGAUUUAAUGGUCAAUAAUUUUAAGUUACCAGAAUCACUAAAUACUAAAAAAAUCAAAACUGCUUUUUCAAGUUUAAGACGUGCAUGUUAGCGUAAAGAUCGACUAAUUGUGCACUGACGAAAUCUCUUUUUUGGAAAGGGAAUUAAAACGAGAAAACAAACAUG